Molecule: long non-coding RNA, 414 nt
Organism: Sorex fumeus (smoky shrew)
Lineage: Eukaryota; Metazoa; Chordata; Mammalia; Eulipotyphla; Soricidae
Exons: 4
Source: RefSeq, a predicted model, not a curated record
GUACCCUGUGGUGUUAAGGGGCCAUAAGGAACAGUGACUGAACUCAGGACAUCAAACAUUUGAGUGCUUGGGUCGUACUGCUGGUUCUGCACACAGGAGCUACUGCUGGAAGGACUGGGGGACCUUAUGUGGUAUUGGGGAUCAAACCCUCUUUGGCAGCAUGCAAGAUUUUAAACAUAGAAAGGAAAAGAAAAAAUAGAGAAAGAAACAGAAAUAAAGAAAAAGAGAAAGAGAGAGAGAAGAAAAGAGGGAAAGAGAAGAAAAAAAGUUACAUUACGAUUAAGUGAAUAAAAAUAAACAAUCUUCCUGCACAGAAUGCGUAAAGGAUGAGGCAUACACCACAUCCAGAUUCCCUUUGUGUGAGACUGCACUGUGGAUCCAACUGAGAAACCUGCAGAGGGAAGUGAAUAGACG